RNAcentral lists this long non-coding RNA (2009 nucleotides) under Podarcis lilfordi (Lilford's wall lizard). Lineage: Eukaryota; Metazoa; Chordata; Lepidosauria; Squamata; Lacertidae. The record is from RNAcentral.
GUUGUCUCACAAGCAUAUCCACAAUCAACUAAAGAUUGCAAUCAGUGUGUUUCUUGAUAGUCCCAUGCAUAUCCACUCAGUACCUGUGAGUUUAACUGGACUUUGGACAAGCAAUCCUAACUCCCAGAUGGGAGCACCAAAGCUGAAUUUACCACAAGGCGUUUGGUAGUCAAAUUGCCAGCUUUUAAUUUUUGUUGUUGUGGGAGCACAGAGGACCAGAUUGGUCUCAUAGAUGGUAGCUGAGCCAAUGUAAGAUCUAGUGAAUCUGAAUGUUGGAAGAUUUAGGAAAGAUGGAAGAAAGUACCAUAUUUUUUGCUCCAUAACUCACUUUUUCCCUCCUAAAAAGUAAGGGGAAAUGUGUGUGCGUUUUAUGGAGCGAAUGCAGGCUGUGCAGCUAUCCCAGAAGCCAGAACAGCAAGAGGGAUUGCUGCUUUCACUGCGCAGCAAUCCCUCUUGCUGUUCUGGCUUCUGAGAUUCAGAAUAUUUUUUUUCUUGUAUUCCUCCUCCAAAAACUAAGUGCGUCUUGUGGUCUGGUGCGUCUUAUAAAGCGAAAAAUACGGUACUUAUUCACACAGCAAAUAGUCAAGCUAUGGAACGUCGCUUGCCCAGGAGUCAGCGAUGGCCAACAAUUUGGAUGACUUUGAAAGAGGAUCAGACCGAUUCAUGGAGAAGAAGACUGUCAAUGGCCAGUAGCCAUGAUGGUGAUGCUGUGCCUUCACAGCUGGAGCUGUCAGUGCUUCCAGAUUCCAGUUGCUGGAAACCACAGGAGUGGAGAGUGCUCUUGUGCUCAUGUUCUGCUCAAUUGUUUCCCACAGGCGUCUGGUUGGCCACUGAGAAUAAGUUGCCAUUGGACAGGUCCAGCAGAAUAUUCUUAUGUUCUUGGCCAUCCCCCAUUCAGGGGUUUAUGCAGACUACCAUUAGCAGGGAUACUGCUGGUGGUAGUUUCAACCCAUCCGCACUCUGAGUGAACACAGUGAAGACUUCUGCAGAAGGUGGAGACCCUGUGCUAGUGGAAUCUGGCAGAGCUGACCAAUUCCCAAGUACAGGGAAAUGCCUGCAGUAUCAUAUUGUGCUAUGGAUUGCUGUGUUGCACUCAUGUAUAGGGUUACAGUCUUCAUUAUCUUCUUGUAUUGCUAUAUGUAUUCCUUUUUGUUGCCUGAUUUGUUUCAACCUUAAUUUAAUUCAGAAAUAAAAUAAAAUUCCGUAGAAAAGGGGAAGGGGGACAGAUUUCAUUUUGAGCAAUCAUUCCCUUAGGCUUAGAGUGUCCUUGAACAAUUGGUUUAUAAAGUUAUGUAUUUUAUUUUAUUUUUUUACCCUAUCUUGCUUGAAUAGGCUUCUCUGUUUAAUCUGAUAAUCUGAGCUGGUUUUGCAAUGAUGUAUUUGUUCAUGCAAGCCAAUUUUUGCUCCGGUCCUUAGUUUUUCUUCCCUUUCCUGAAGUUGAAAGCAAGCUUUGUUCAACCCAGUGUUUCUAGAAAUUUCUUUCUUUCUUUCUUUCUUUCUUUCUUUCUUUCUUUCUUUCCUUAUGGAAGGAGAAUAAUUUUCUGGCAUAUGAUUUCAGAAAGGCAGAAGAGAUGGCGAGAAAUGAUUGGAAGGAAUGAUACACUUCAAAUGAAAGUGUGAACAAAAAGAGGGUGGAAAAAUCUUCACUGCCUAGUUGUAGCUGACUGCUCAAAUCCAUUGUGUAGCAUCUAUUCAAGAAAGGUUCUUUAGCUAAUACAACUGAAAUUGUAUCCUUCAUUAAAUCUGCAUUUUCAGUGGGCUGGAAUAUUUCAUCUCAUCAGUAGUUACAUAACGUCCCUGAGAUCCCAAGACCAGCUGAUUAGCCACCGGGUGAUACUUCCCCUCAUGUUAACAUUACUCAUAAAUGAUACUUUAUUUCCUGACAACCAUAAAUACAUUCCUGAAUGCCAUGUCUUGGGCAAUUGCAAAUUUGAAAUCAGAAUGGAAAUUUCUUUACUUCACUUUACAUUCUUCUCUGAUACCCUGACUUAGGAACCAAGCAGACACCA